Molecule: long non-coding RNA, 2683 nt
Filed under: Homo sapiens (human)
Lineage: Eukaryota; Metazoa; Chordata; Mammalia; Primates; Hominidae
Description: HSALNT0083932
Source: RNAcentral
UGGGGCGGGGCCUAAGUGCGGGGCAGGGCGGGCUUUCGGGGAUGCGGUCUGGAUUCUGGAGGAGGCCUCGGCGCGCAGCUGGGCGAGUACUAACUGUUUGCACUCUCAUCAGACCUGCCUCGGUCAUGGGAGAAGUUGAAGACUUUCUGCAAUGCAGCAUCUUCAAGCAAUACACACAUGGAUGAAAAUCCUAAAGUUUGCAUGAAGGACCAAUAACGGUAGUUUCCCUGCCCCUCUACCAGAACCCCUGGGAUCAGCGCCUGCCUGCCUCCUUUCUUCUAUGUAAUCGGCGGCCACCUCCCCUAGCUCUUGCUGCUAACCAUGCUUCCCGGACACCUGCUGCCUUCGUAGUGCCUAGAAACAGGCAAAGUGAGGGAGCUCCUUUGCUAGAUGAUCUUCAGAGCCUCUCCCAGCUGUGACCAGAAAUGGAAAGCCAGAGAAGGUAAGUGACUUGCCAAACUUAUGGAAUCAGGGCACUCCAGUUGGUGGGCUGGGCUGAUAAACAGAAAUGUUACAUAAAAUACUUCUCUCCUGAUUUAACAACAAUUAACUUUAGGGAAUUAUAAAACAAGAUGGAGGCUGGGCGUGGUGGCUCAGGCCUGUAAUCCCAGAACUUUGGAAGGCCAAGGCAGGUGGAUUACCUGAGGUGAGGAGUUCGAGACCGACCUGACCAAUAUGGAGAAACCCUGUCUCUACUAAAAAUACAAAAAUUAGUCAGACAUGGUGGUGUGCGCCUGUAGUCCCAGCUACUUGGGAGGCUGAGACAGGAGAAUUGCUUGAACCCAGGAGGCAGAGGUUGCAGUAAGCCGAGAUCAUGCCACUGCACUCCAGCCUGGGCAACAGAGCAAGACUCAAAAAAAAAAAAAAAAGGUGGAAAUAAAAUAUUAGACAAAUAAAAAAUUUUAAGUUAUUAGGUAGAGGUAGCGACAUGGAGUGAACGGCCUUUCUCAAUUUCAUAAGUAAGAAAGAUAGAUAAUUGAUGGAACUUAGGCUUUGGUAAGUAUUUAUUUUAAAAAUUUAAGGGUAUCUCUUUGCUAGUAUAUAUAAUUCCCAAACUAGUAGACAGGGGGAAGGGAAUAAAGAAAACACAAUCAACUCAAUAGAAGGCAAGAAAAGAAGAGAAUAAAGAAGCAAAGAACAAGCAUGGAAAAUAAAACUCACAACGUAAAGUGCAAAAAUUAAAGGCACACGACUCAACAGCAAAAAAGCAAAAGAAGAAAUUUAUAAAUGGGCAAAGGACCUGAACAGAUACUUCUCAAAAGAAGACAUAAAAAUGACCAGCAAAAAUGCUCAGCAUCACAUAUCAUCAGGGAAAUACAAAUUAAAAGCAUAAUGAGAUGUCACCUUACACUGUUAGAAGGGCUAUAAUCAAAAAGACCAAAGACAAUGGGUGUGGGUGAAAAUGUGGAGGAAAGGGAACCCUUGUACACUGUUGAUGGGAAUGUAAAUUAGUGCAGCCUUUAUGGAAAAUAGAAUGGAAGUUUCCCAAAACUCUAAAAACAGAAUUACCAUAUGAUCCAGCAGUCCUACUUCUGAGUAUAUACUGUGAACCCUGAAUAUCUGAGACAGUUCUCAGUUAAUUUAGAAAGUUUAUUUUGCCAAGGUUGAAGACACACACUCAUGACACGGCCUCAGGAGGUCCUGAUGACAUGAGCCCAAGGUGGUCAGGGCACAGCUUGGUUUUAUACAUUUUAGGGAAACAUGAGACAUAAAUCAAUAUGUAAGUGUAAGGUAUACACUGGUUCUGUCCAGAAAGGCGGGAAAACUCAAAGCAGGGAGGGGGCUUCCAGGUCACUGGUAGGUGAAAGACAAAUAGUUACAUUAUUUUGAGUUUCUGAUUUGCCUUUCCAAAGGAGGCAAUCAGAUAUGCACCUAUCUCAGUGAGCAAAGGGAUCACUUUGAAUAGAAUGGGAGGCAGGUUGUCCCUGAGCAUUUUCCAGCAUGACUUUUCCCUUUAGCUUAGUGAUUUGGGGGCCCCAAAAUUUAUUUUCCUUUCACAAUACUCAAAGGAAUUGAAAUCACUAUGUCAAAGAGAUAUCUGUGUUUCCAGAAAGAGGUCCCAGUCCAGACCCCGAGAGAGUUCUUGGAUCUUGUGAAAGAAGGAAUUCAGGGUGAGUCCAUAUAGUAAAGUAAAAGCAAGUGUAUUAGUAAAAUAAAGGAAUAAAGAAUGGCUACUCCAUAGGCAGAGCGGCCCGAGGGCUACUGGUUACUUGCUGUUAUGGUUAUUUCUUGAUUGUAUGCUAAGCAAGUGGUGGCUUAUUUAUGCCUCCCCGUUUUAGACCAUUUAGGGUAACUUCCUAACAGGUCAUGGCAUUUGGAAACUGUCAGGGCAGUGGUGGGAGUAUAGCAGUGAGAACUCUCGUUGCCAUCUUGGUUUUGGUGGGGUUUAGCUGGCUUCUUUACAGCAAACUGUUUUAUCAGUGAGGUGUUUAUGACCUGUAUUUGGUGCCGACCUCCUAUCUCAUCUUGUGACUUAGAAUGCCUAACCAUCUGGGAAUGCAGCCCAGUAGGUUUGUUUCAGCCUUAUUUUACCCAGCUCCUAUUCAAGAUGGAGUUGCUCUGCUUCAAAUGCCUCUAACAUCUGUACCCCAUAAAAAUAGACAAUUAUUAUUUGUUAAUUAAAAAUAAAAUUAAAAAGUGUAUCAUGAACUGUGUUCCCUGUCAUUAAAUGUGUGCCUUCCCC